Molecule: ribosomal RNA, 375 nt
Filed under: uncultured organism
Description: partial 16S ribosomal RNA
Rfam family: Bacterial small subunit ribosomal RNA
Source: RNAcentral
GUAGGUGGCAAGCGUUGUCCGGAAUUAUUGGGCGUAAAGCGCGCGCAGGCGGUUCUUUAAGUCUGAUGUGAAAGCCCACGGCUCAACCGUGGAGGGUCAUUGGAAACUGGAGAACUUGAGUACAGAAGAGGAAAGCGGAAUUCCACGUGUAGCGGUGAAAUGCGUAGAGAUGUGGAGGAACACCAGUGGCGAAGGCGGCUUUCUGGUCUGUAACUGACGCUGAGGCGCGAAAGCGUGGGGAGCAAACAGGGAUUAGAUACCCUGGUAGUGCACGCCGUAAACGAUGAGUGCUAAGUGUUAGGGGGGUUUUCCGCCCCCCUUAGUGCUGCAGCUAACGCAUUAAGCACUCCGCCUGGGAGUACGGCCGCAAGGCUG